RNAcentral lists this transfer RNA (86 nucleotides) under Nocardioides sp. Root240. Its description in RNAcentral is "tRNA-Asp". Lineage: Bacteria; Bacillati; Actinomycetota; Actinomycetes; Propionibacteriales; Nocardioidaceae. The record is from RNAcentral. RNAcentral also lists the same sequence under 1 other name.
UGCGUCGGUCGCACGGCGGCCAGUGCAGCGGGCUGUCGCCCCGUGGCCUUCAGGCAUCGCAGGUUCGGGUCCUGCCGGCGCACCCA